AAGAUUUCUGGGCCGCACGCGCGCUACACUGACGGAGCCAGCGAGUACUCCCUUGGCCGGAAGGCCUGGGUAAUCUUGUUAAACUCCGUCGUGCUGGGGAUAGAGCAUUGCAAUUAUUGCUCUUCAACGAGGAAUCCCUAGUAAGCGCAAGUCAUCAGCUUGCGUUGAUUACGUCCCUGCCCUUUGUACACACCGCCCGUCGCUACUACCGAUUGAAUGGCUCAGUGAGGCGUCCGGACUGGCCCAGAGAGGUGGGCAACUACCACUCAGGGCCGGAAAGCUCUCCAAACUCGGUCAUUUAGAGGAAGUAAAAGUCGUAACAAGGUCUCCGUUGGUGAACCAGCGGAGGGAUCAUUACCGAGUUUACAACUCCCAAACCCAAUGUGAACGUUACCAAACUGUUGCCUCGGCGGGAUCUCUGCCCCGGGUGCGUCGCAGCCCCGGACCAAGGCGCCCGCCGGAGGACCAACCAAAACUCUUUUUGUAUACCCCCUCGCGGGUUUUUUUAUAAUCUGAGCCUUCUCGGCGCCUCUCGUAGGCGUUUCGAAAAUGAAUCAAAACUUUCAACAACGGAUCUCUUGGUUCUGGCAUCCAUGAAGAACGCAGCGAAAUGCGAUAAGUAAUGUGAAUUGCAGAAUUCAGUGAAUCAUCGAAUCUUUGAACGCACAUUGCGCCCGCCAGUAUUCUGGCGGGCAUGCCUGUCCGAACGUCAUUUCAACCCUCGAACCCUCCGGGGGGUCGGCGUUGGGGAUCGGCCCUCCCUUA
Molecule: ribosomal RNA, 765 nt
Filed under: Hypocreaceae sp. LM230
Lineage: Eukaryota; Fungi; Ascomycota; Sordariomycetes; Hypocreales; Hypocreaceae
Description: bacterial SSU rRNA
Rfam family: Eukaryotic small subunit ribosomal RNA (bases 1-357)
Source: RNAcentral